Molecule: long non-coding RNA, 208 nt
Filed under: Lathyrus oleraceus (garden pea)
Lineage: Eukaryota; Viridiplantae; Streptophyta; Magnoliopsida; Fabales; Fabaceae
Description: Pisum sativum (pea) long non-coding RNA (PSAT_LNC016370)
Source: RNAcentral
UGGAUUAGAAGGACCAAAUCUCUAAACCCACUCUUGUCCAUUUUUGGUUUACAUUGUGGAACUUUUUGAUGUGUCUGCUUUUGUGCUAGGGAUUCCUAUUUGAGCCAAAGUGAAGAACCAUUGUCAUGUGCAUCUAAAGUGAGAGAUACAAGAGCCAUUGGAAGAUUCCUAAGAGCUUUGCUUGAUUGAUUGAUUGAUUGCUUGAGUA